This 733-nucleotide ribosomal RNA is filed under the name Burkholderiales bacterium PBB6. RNAcentral describes it as "Bacterial large subunit ribosomal RNA". It matches the Rfam family "Bacterial large subunit ribosomal RNA", at positions 2006 to 2738 of the family's 2925-position model. Lineage: Bacteria; Pseudomonadati; Pseudomonadota; Betaproteobacteria; Burkholderiales. The record is from Rfam by way of RNAcentral.
GAUGGCCACACUGUCUCCUCCAGAGACUCAGCGAAGUUGAAAUGUUUGUGAUGAUGCAAUCUCCCCGCGGAAAGACGGAAAGACCCCAUGAACCUUUACUGUAGCUUUACAUUGGACUUUGAACAGAUCUGUGUAGGAUAGGUGGGAGGCUUUGAAACCUGGUCGCUAGAUCAGGUGGAGCCGACGUUGAAAUACCACCCUGGUGUGUUUGAGGUUCUAACCUUGGUCCCUUAUCGGGAUUGGGGACAGUGUAUGGUGGGCAGUUUGACUGGGGCGGUCUCCUCCCAAAGUGUAACGGAGGAGUUCGAAGGUACGCUAGCCACGGUCGGAAAUCGUGGUGAUAGUGCAUUGGCAUAAGCGUGCUUGACUGCGAGACUGACAAGUCGAGCAGGUACGAAAGUAGGACAAAGUGAUCCGGUGGUUCUGUAUGGAAGGGCCAUCGCUCAACGGAUAAAAGGUACUCUGGGGAUAACAGGCUGAUACCGCCCAAGAGUUCAUAUCGACGGCGGUGUUUGGCACCUCGAUGUCGGCUCAUCUCAUCCUGGGGCUGUAGCCGGUCCCAAGGGUAUGGCUGUUCGCCAUUUAAAGAGGUACGUGAGCUGGGUUUAAAACGUCGUGAGACAGUUUGGUCCCUAUCUUCCGUGGGCGCUGCAAGAUUGAGAGAGCCUGCUCCUAGUACGAGAGGACCGGAGUGGACGCACCUCUGGUGUAUCGGUUGUCACGCCAGUGGCAU